AGUGAACGCUGGCGGUAGGCCUAACACAUGCAAGUCGAACGGCAGCACAGUAAGAGCUUGCUCUUACGGGUGGCGAGUGGCGGACGGGUGAGGAAUACAUCGGAAUCUACUUUUUCGUGGGGGAUAACGUAGGGAAACUUACGCUAAUACCGCAUACGACCUACGGGUGAAAGCAGGGGAUCUUCGGACCUUGCGCGAUUGAAUGAGCCGAUGUCGGAUUAGCUAGUUGGCGGGGUAAAGGCCCACCAAGGCGACGAUCCGUAGCUGGUCUGAGAGGAUGAUCAGCCACACUGGAACUGAGACACGGUCCAGACUCCUACGGGAGGCAGCAGUGGGGAAUAUUGGACAAUGGGCGCAAGCCUGAUCCAGCCAUACCGCGGGGGUGAAGAAGGGCUUCGGGUUGUAAAGCCCUUUUGUUGGGAAAGAAAAGCAGCAGGUUAAUACCCCGCUGUUCUGACGGUACCCAAAGAAUAAGCACCGGCUAACUUCGUGC
This 493-nucleotide ribosomal RNA is filed under the name uncultured bacterium. Its description in RNAcentral is "partial 16S ribosomal RNA". It matches the Rfam family "Bacterial small subunit ribosomal RNA", at positions 29 to 508 of the family's 1533-position model. The record is from RNAcentral.